CAGCCGCCGCGGGAAUACGUAGGUGGCAAGCGUUGUCCGGAAUUAUUGGGCGUAAAGCGCGCGCAGGCGGAUCAGUCAGUCUGUCUUAAAAGUUCGGGGCUUAACCCCGUGAUGGGAUGGAAACUGCUGAUCUAGAGUAUCGGAGAGGAAAGUGGAAUUCCUAGUGUAGCGGUGAAAUGCGUAGAUAUUAGGAAGAACACCAGUGGCGAAGGCGACUUUCUGGACGAAAACUGACGCUGAGGCGCGAAAGCCAGGGGAGCGAACGGGAUUAGAUACCCCCGUAGUCCCUGUCUCUUAUACA
RNAcentral lists this ribosomal RNA (301 nucleotides) under uncultured bacterium. RNAcentral describes it as "partial 16S ribosomal RNA". It matches the Rfam family "Bacterial small subunit ribosomal RNA", at positions 509 to 809 of the family's 1533-position model. The record is from RNAcentral.